Molecule: long non-coding RNA, 1382 nt
Filed under: Strigops habroptila (Kakapo)
Lineage: Eukaryota; Metazoa; Chordata; Aves; Psittaciformes; Psittacidae
Description: lncRNA (ENSSHBG00005000611.1)
Source: RNAcentral
GGAAAGGGAUAUGGUUUAUUGGCCCGAGAAAGUGUCCACAGCGAGCGCAGGCUGCAGCACGAUGUCCUCAGCGCAGCUCCCUCGGGCCUGGAGCUGGCAGCGGGGCGCUAGUCCUCCACUUGCGGGUUCAUGCAGGAGCAGCGGAAAGCCCUGCGCAGAGCCUUCAGCACCCUUCUGAAGUGGGGUGGUCGUCGCCAUUGGACUGCUCCUGCGCCUGGGAGGGCAGCGAUGGACAUACCUGGCUCAUCCUCGGUGUCGUGAACAGCUGCAGGAGACACUGCCAGUUCAUCCUUCUGUAAUGGCGCAGAGGUGGUGGCUGUGCUGGCCUCUCCCUGUUGUUUUUUAGGUGCUCUCCUCACUUUGCGCCUGAAUGAGACCUGCAGAGCUCUGUCAAUAACCGUAUACCACCUUGGGGCAGAUGCCUGUGCUGCUGUCUGCUGCUUGUCCAUGCUGGACUCUUCCUGCGGCUCAACAGACACAGGAGACUCCAUGUCACGAACUGCUAAAGACCUCAUUGGUGCCAUUGACACAUCCAUGCUUUGGGCCACGUCCUCCUGUUCCAGAAGCUGCUCAUCCGUUUCCUGGAUGACAGCCAAAGCCUUCCUUGCACACGAUGCCACUCACAAAGCGCCUGGCUAUUUCAUGCCAAACCAGCUCAGAGGCUGUGGGGCUGAGCAGAGCAAAUGCCUUCCUCCGGGCCUCUGCUUCUGCCUCCUGCUCAUCAAACACGUGGGAAGAUGGAGCCAGAAAUAGCCUGGCACUUCGUGAGUGGCAUCGUGCGCAAGGCUAUGGCUGUAAUCCAGGAAAUGGAUGGGCAGCCUCAGGAACACCAGGACAAUGCCCAAAGCAUGGAUGUGUCAAUGGCAGCAAUGAGGCCUGCAGCAGUUGAGGACAUUGAGUCUCCUGUGGCUGCAGGACCUCAGGCAGAGGCCUCAUGGACAAGCAGCAGACACCAGCACAGCCACCUGCCCUAAGGUGGCGCACGCUUAUUGACAGGGCUCUGCAGGUCUCAUUCACGCGCAGUGUGAGGAGAGCAUCCGAAAAGCAUCAGGGAGAGGCCAGCACAGCCACUGCCUCCCCGCCAUUACACAAGAAUGAACUGGCAGUGUCACCUGCAGCCAUUCAGGACACCCAGGAUGAGCCAGGCAUCGCUGCCCUCCCGGACACAGGAGCAGUCCAACGGCGACGACCACCCCACUUCAGAAGGGUGCUGAAGGCUCUGCGCAGGGCUUUCCGCUGCUCCUGCAUCAACCCGCAAGUGGAGGACUAGCGCCCCGCUGCCAGCUCCAGGCCCGAGGGAGCUGCGCUGAGGACAUCGUGCUGCAGCCUGCGCUCGCUGUGGACACUUUCUCGGGCCAAUAAACCAUAUCACUUUUCCCCCA